Long non-coding RNA from Cryptotermes secundus, 1422 nucleotides. RefSeq lists it as uncharacterized. Lineage: Eukaryota; Metazoa; Arthropoda; Insecta; Blattodea; Kalotermitidae. The transcript has 2 exons. The record is from RefSeq and is a predicted model, not a curated record.
AAUUAAUAGACUCCUUCCACUGAUCAGGCAUUUCUUCCUUAUUCCAAAUAUAAUUAAUUAGUUUAUGGAUCUCAAACCAUAAUGUUUCAUAUACUGCUUAUGUCGUAAUUUUGUGGAAAUUGCCAUUCACAAAGAAAUUAAGAACAAAUUAAAUCCAGGGAAUGUCUGUUACCAGUAAGUUCUUAAUCUUUUUGUCUUCCUGCCUGUCUACAAAAGAAUGAUCAAAUCAAGGAUGAUGAGACAGGCAGGGUCUGUACUACAAGUAGUUACCAGAAAAGCCUACACAAUUUUGGUUCAGAAAUUUGAAGGAAAGAGAUUUCUUCAAAGCCCUACACAUAGAUGGGAGUAUAUUAAAAUAGAUCUUAUACAGGGCAUGAGAAUAUGGAUGGAUUCAUCUGGCUCAGAGUUUGGCUGUUGUGAACACAGUAAUGAAACUUGUUCUGUAAGAGGUGAGGCAUUUCUUGAAUAUCUGAGACAAGUAGCUUCUCAAGAAUUUUGCUCUGGGUGUUGUUCCGGCUUUCCAUUCUGGAGCAUUAACGUGUAUUUCGACCUUUUUACAUUUAUUUUUAGACUAAUAUUUUCAGUAAUUUAUUAAGAGCAUUACCUUGUUAUUCUUUAUGCUCUUUAAGGGGUCACUUGCUACCAACUGGGGCCCAGGAGGGUUCCUGGUUUAUUUGAAGCCUUAUAUCCGAAACAGGAAAUUUACCUAGAUGCAUUUGCUGUUCUGUAAUAUAUUGUGUCAUGUUUUGUACAGCAUUAGAGGUUGGGAUAUCUAAAGAUUUUAAUUGAAAAUCAGGUUUUAAACAAGAAGCUGAGUUAUACUUGAGCAAGUUCAAGUGGGGUAGUUCCUUCAUCACUCUGAACCACACAAUGCUAGAUGUAUAUGCUGCAUGCCAAGGGGACAGCUCAACUGUUGUUGCCGCUCAGAAUAAAUACUUAGAAGAAGCACGUCUUGAAAAAGAGUCACGUUAUCGAGGAUAUUACUAAAUGAACACAUCACAUAAGCACACUAAUUGAAGACCAUGAAUGACAGAGGCAAGGCAAUGCACGGUAAACAUGUCAGAACAUGACUAUCACAGGCAUCCCUGUGCAGUGCAGUUUAUCUGAGACAUUAAUUCAGUUUGUAUUUCUGAAACAGGCCUCAUGUUAUAAACAUCUUUGCAAGGUUAGAUUUGUCUCCAACAUCAAGACCAGAGAGAUAUGCAAACAAUUAGAGAAUGCAUUUGGAGUGUACUGUGUGUUAUUCCACUGUAUUACACAUUUUGCCAUUUGUCCUGCUUUAGAGUAGAUCAUUUGUUCAUGUCUAUUUAUAAGAAAGCAACUUUCCUGUUCCCUGCCAUGAACUUAAUAGAGAACACCAAAAGAUAUUAUGAAAUUUAGUCUGUAUUCGUCAUAAUAUCUAUGGUUGCCACAGCUGUUAAA